This 123-nucleotide small RNA is filed under the name Streptococcus mitis NCTC 12261. RNAcentral's name for it is "Streptococcus sRNA SpR19". It matches the Rfam family "Streptococcus sRNA SpR19". The record is from Rfam by way of RNAcentral. Lineage: Bacteria; Bacillati; Bacillota; Bacilli; Lactobacillales; Streptococcaceae.
GCGUUCUUCAAGCGAACUUGGGAUAGUGGGAGCCAAGUAGGGCAAAAUAAAGAACUGGCGCUUUCUGUAAUAUUUUUAAAAACAAAUGAAGUAAUAAAUUAGGGUGGAACCGCGUUUCUGACG